GGCCUUAGGGUCGUAAACCCCUGUCAGAUGGGACGAAACGUGUAUCGGCAAAUAGCUGAUAUGCCUGACGGUACCAUCAGAGGAAGCUCCGGCUAACUCCGUGCCAGCAGCCGCGGUAAUACGGAGGGAGCAAGCGUUGUUCGGAAUUACUGGGCGUAAAGGGCGCGUAGGCUGCCUUGUAAGUCGGGUGUGAAAUGCCGGGGCUCAACUCCGUGCACUGCAUCCGAUACUGCUUGGCUGGAGAAAGGUAGAGGCGAGCGGAAUUCCCGGUGUAGCGGUGGAAUGCGUAGAUAUCGGGAAGAACACCUGUGGCGAAGGCGGCUCGCUGGGCCUUUUCUGACGCUGAAGCGCGAAAGCGUGGGGAGCAAACAGGAUUAGAUACCCUGGUAGUCCACGCCGUAAACGCUGGGUACUAGGUGUCGGGAGGCUUGGCCCUCUCGGUGUCGACCCUAACGGAUUAAGUACCCCGCCUGGGGAGUACGG
Molecule: ribosomal RNA, 483 nt
Filed under: uncultured bacterium
Lineage: Bacteria
Description: bacterial SSU rRNA
Rfam family: Bacterial small subunit ribosomal RNA
Source: RNAcentral